CUGGGAUUGCCUUAGUAACGGCGAGUGAAGCGGCAAUAGCUCAAAUUUGAAAGCUGGCCCUUUCAGGGUCCGCAUUGUAAUUUGUAGAGGAUGAUUCGGCGAGGGCUCCCGCCUAAGUCCCCUGGAACGGGGCGUCAUAGAGGGUGAGAAUCCCGUAUGCGGUGGGUUGCCUUAGCCAUGUGAAUCUCCUUCGACGAGUCGAGUUGUUUGGGAAUGCAGCUCUAAAUGGGAGGUAAAUUUCUUCUAAAGCUAAAUACCGGCCAGAGACCGAUAGCGCACAAGUAGAGUGAUCGAAAGAUGAAAAGCACUUUGGAAAGAGAGUUAAAAAGUACGUGAAAUUGUUGAAAGGGAAGGGCUUGCAACUAGACUUGUCCGCAGUUGCUCAACUGGUCUCCUGACCGGUGUACUCUUCUGCGGCCAGGCCAGCAUCAGUUCAGGCGGUCGGAUAAAGACCUUGGGAAUGUAGCUCCCCUCGGGGAGUGUUAUAGCCCAGGGUGGAAUGCGGCCAGUUUGGACUGAGGAUCUCGCUUCGGCAAGGAUGCUGGCAUAAUGGUUGUAAGCCGCCCGUCUUGAAACACGGACCAAGGAGUCUAACAUCUAUGCGAGUGUUUGGGUGUCAAACCCAUACGCGUAAUGAAAGUGAACGGAGGUGGGAACCCGCAAGGGUGCACCAUCGGCCGAUCCUGAUGUCUUCGGAUGGAUUUGAGCAAGAGCAUAGCUGUUGGGACCCGAAAGAUGGUGAACUAUGCCUGAAUAGGGUGAAGCCAGAGGAAACUCUGGUGGAGGCUCGCAGCGGUUCUGACGUGCAAAUCGAUCGUCAAAUUUGGGUAUAGGGGCGAAAGACUAAUCGAACCAUUAACACUGUAGUUGUUACGGACUACUAGGUGGUUAAGAGGCGGCUAAAAGUGCCCGCCUAGUCCCUCCAUCGGGGCAACACUGUCAAAUUGUUCGGGGACGUCCUUAGAGCUUAGACUACCGCGGCCGGGCCGAAAGGUUCGGUGCAGCACCAGGGUAACGACCUCGGGUAUGGUAACAACGUCUAAGAUUGGGCUAUCCGCAGCCAAGCUCCUAAACCUCUUGUGAGGCACGGAGAAGGUUCACAGACUAGAUGGCAGUGGGUUCGGCUUCACGGCCGGGCCUAAGAUAUAGUCGAUCCCCCACGGAAACGUGGGCGGCAGGGCAAAGCUCGCAGGCAAGA
This 1198-nucleotide ribosomal RNA is filed under the name Barriopsis iraniana. RNAcentral describes it as "LSU rRNA". It matches the Rfam family "Eukaryotic large subunit ribosomal RNA", at positions 69 to 1606 of the family's 3401-position model. Lineage: Eukaryota; Fungi; Ascomycota; Dothideomycetes; Botryosphaeriales; Botryosphaeriaceae. The record is from RNAcentral.